This 494-nucleotide ribosomal RNA is filed under the name uncultured bacterium. RNAcentral describes it as "partial 16S ribosomal RNA". It matches the Rfam family "Bacterial small subunit ribosomal RNA", at positions 28 to 507 of the family's 1533-position model. The record is from RNAcentral.
GACGAACGCUGGCGGCGUGCUUAACACAUGCAAGUCGAACGGAAAGGCCUGCUUUCCCUUGUGGUUUGCGGGUACUCGAGUGGCGAACGGGGGAGUAACACGUGAGUGAUCUGUUCCCAACUGGGGUAGAAGCCAGGGAAACUGGGUUAAAUCCUCCAUAGUACUGCAGGGAGGAGCCGGUGGUGGAAAACGAUGUUCUUGUGGGUGGGGAUGCGCUCGCGGCCUAUCAGCUUGUUGGGGGGGUAAUGGCCUACCAAGGCGGCGACGGGUAGCCGGCCUGAGAGGGUGGACGGCCACAUUGGGACUGAGAUACGGCCCAGACUCCUACGGGAGGCAGCAGUGGGGAAUAUUGCACAAUGGGCGGAAGCCUGAUGCAGCGACGCCGCGUGGGGGAUGACGGCCUUCGGGUUGUAAACUCCUUUCGACCGCGAGGAAGCCACCUGGUUGGAAGGGUGGUGACGGUAGUGGUAGAAGAAGCACCGGCUAACUACGUG